GUACAAGUAUGUCAAGCCGUUCUCGUCAAAACUCUGUUUAAACCCUUUUUUCGAAAAAAAAUACACACUGAGAAUUAAAAACCUAAAAUAACACACUGAGAAAUCGAAAUUACACACUGAGAUUUAAAAAAAUAAAAAACACACACUGAGAAUUCAAAAUUACACACUGAGAUUUUAAAAAGACACACUGAGAUGAAAUAAAUUGAAAAACACACACUGAGAAUUGUUAAUUACACACUGAGAUUUCAAAAAUACGCACUGAGAUUAAUAUGCAAAUUACUAACGAAUAUUCAUGAGAUGAAUAAUUCAACAGAUUUAUAUCUUGAUCUCAAGAACUCUUGUCAUUAUAAUGAAAUGCGAUUCCUUCAACCAACAUUCGUAAUAAAUUUCAAGACUUAACAUCGCUCAUAUUCAUAAGUUUGUUGCCUAUAAUUCAGAUCAAUACUACCAGUAAUUAAACAUGUGUCCCUUUUCAAAGUCUUCCAACUGUUUCCCUGAUUUCGCUAGUUAAUCUUUUAUAUUUUUGUUACGUUUAUAUGCUAUAAUAGAC
RNAcentral lists this long non-coding RNA (550 nucleotides) under Mytilus galloprovincialis (Mediterranean mussel). Lineage: Eukaryota; Metazoa; Mollusca; Bivalvia; Mytilida; Mytilidae. The record is from RNAcentral.